GGGGAAUUUUGGACAAUGGGCGCAAGCCUGAUCCAGCCAUGCCGCGUGAGUGAAGAAGGCCUUCGGGUUGUAAAGCUCUUUCGCAAGGGAAGAAAACGUGUGGGCUAAUAUCCUGCGCGGAUGACGGUACCUUGACAAGAAGCACCGGCUAACUACGUGCCAGCAGCCGCGGUAAUACGUAGGGUGCGAGCGUUAAUCGGAAUUACUGGGCGUAAAGCGUGCGCAGGCGGUUGUGUAAGACAGGUGUGAAAUCCCCGGGCUUAACCUGGGAACUGCGCUGGUGACUGCACGGCUAGAGUCCGGCAGAGGGGGGUGGAUUUCCUGGUGUAGCGGUGAAAUGCGUAGUUAUAGGGGGGAACACCGAUGGCGAAGUCAGCCCCCUGGGCGUGUACUGACGCUAGUGCAGGAAAGCGUGGGGAGCAAACA
This 426-nucleotide ribosomal RNA is filed under the name uncultured Azoarcus sp. RNAcentral describes it as "bacterial SSU rRNA". It matches the Rfam family "Bacterial small subunit ribosomal RNA", at positions 356 to 774 of the family's 1533-position model. Lineage: Bacteria; Pseudomonadati; Pseudomonadota; Betaproteobacteria; Rhodocyclales; Zoogloeaceae. The record is from RNAcentral.